GACGAACGCUGGCGGCGUGCUUAACACAUGCAAGUCGAACGGAAAGGCCCUGCUUUUGUGGGGUGCUCGAGUGGCGAACGGGUGAGUAACACGUGAGUAACCUGCCCUUGACUUUGGGAUAACUUCAGGAAACUGGGGCUAAUACCGGAUAGGAGCUCCUGCUGCAUGGUGGGGGUUGGAAAGUUUCGGCGGUUGGGGAUGGACUCGCGGCUUAUCAGCUUGUUGGUGGGGUAGUGGCUUACCAAGGCUUUGACGGGUAGCCGGCCUGAGAGGGUGACCGGCCACAUUGGGAAUGAGAUACGGCCCAGACGCCUACGGGAGGAAGGAGUGGGGAAUAUUGCACAAUGGGCGGAAGCCUGAGGCAGCAACGCCGCGUGCGGGAUGACGGCCUUCGGGUUGUAAACCGCUUUCGCCUGUGACGAAGCGUGAGGGACGGUAAUGGGUAAAGAAGCACCGGCUAACUACGG
This 467-nucleotide ribosomal RNA is filed under the name uncultured bacterium. Its description in RNAcentral is "partial 16S ribosomal RNA". It matches the Rfam family "Bacterial small subunit ribosomal RNA", at positions 28 to 506 of the family's 1533-position model. The record is from RNAcentral.